Molecule: non-coding RNA, 223 nt
Filed under: Ruminococcus sp.
Lineage: Bacteria; Bacillati; Bacillota; Clostridia; Eubacteriales; Oscillospiraceae
Description: T-box sequence
Rfam family: T-box leader
About the family: Uncharged tRNA acts as the effector for transcription antitermination of genes in the T-box leader family. T-boxes are found upstream of many aminoacyl-tRNA synthetase genes and some amino acid biosynthetic genes usually in Gram-positive bacteria.
Source: RNAcentral
AUAAAUGCUGUGACGGGAACAAGUAGCGCGGCUGAUACGGCUUUCAGAGAGUCUGCGGUGGGUGAGAGCAGAUAAGCGUCGGUCGGGGUGAAUUACCUCCCCGAGUAUCGUGUGUGAGAAAGGCGAGAGCGAUUAGCACACGGCGUUUUUUCCGCGUUAAGGAUAAUGAGGUCGGAAGUGAUUCCGAUGAACGAGGUGGUACCGCGUUUUCAACGCCCUCGGA